This 427-nucleotide ribosomal RNA is filed under the name uncultured bacterium. RNAcentral describes it as "partial 16S ribosomal RNA". It matches the Rfam family "Bacterial small subunit ribosomal RNA", at positions 355 to 774 of the family's 1533-position model. The record is from RNAcentral.
UGGGGAAUAUUGCACAAUGGACGCAAGCCUGAUGCAGCCAUGCCGCGUGUAUGAAGAAGGCCUUCGGGUUGUAAAGUACUUUCAGCGAGGAGGAAGGCGGUAAGGUUAAUAACCUUAUCGAUUGACGUUACUCGCAGAAGAAGCACCGGCUAACUCCGUGCCAGCAGCCGCGGUAAUACGGAGGGUGCAAGCGUUAAUCGGAAUUACUGGGCGUAAAGCGCACGCAGGCGGUCUGUCAAGUCGGAUGUGAAAUCCCCGGGCUCAACCUGGGAACUGCAUUCGAAACUGGCAGGCUAGAGUCUUGUAGAGGGGGGUAGAAUUCCAGGUGUAGCGGUGAAAUGCGUAGAGAUCUGGAGGAAUACCGGUGGCGAAGGCGGCCCCCUGGACAAAGACUGACGCUCAGGUGCGAAAGCGUGGGGAGCAAACA